CGAGAGGACCGGAGUGGACGUACCCCUGGUGUUCGGGUUGUUUUGCCAAAGGCAUUGCCCGGUAGCUAUGUACGGACGGGAUAAGCGCUGAAAGCAUCUAAGUGCGAAGCCCCCCUCAAGAUUAGAUUUCCCAGAGCUUUAAGCUCCUGAAGGGCCGUUGAAGACUACGACGUUGAUAGGCUGGGUGUGGAAGCGUGGUAACACGUGAAGCUAACCAGUACUAAUUGCCCGUGAGGCUUGACCAUAUAACCCCAAG
RNAcentral lists this ribosomal RNA (256 nucleotides) under Piscirickettsiaceae bacterium. RNAcentral's name for it is "partial 23S ribosomal RNA". It matches the Rfam family "Bacterial large subunit ribosomal RNA", at positions 2684 to 2925 of the family's 2925-position model. Lineage: Bacteria; Pseudomonadati; Pseudomonadota; Gammaproteobacteria; Thiotrichales; Piscirickettsiaceae. The record is from RNAcentral.